UUCAGUGAUGAUUAGCUUCUGA
This 22-nucleotide non-coding RNA is filed under the name Mus musculus (house mouse). Its record names the gene mmu-miR-677-5p. The record is from miRBase by way of RNAcentral. Lineage: Eukaryota; Metazoa; Chordata; Mammalia; Rodentia; Muridae.